CGUGUCUUGAAGAAUUAUUUUUUUAAAAUUUAUUUCACAGCUAUAAAUGUUUCAAAACUAUUCAAGGUGAUAAGGUGAAAAAGAAUAUGCAUUUUUAUUACUCCAUAAUUCACCAAAAUGUAAUUUUACAAGUACCAUAUUUCUUGACGCACACUGACAUGUAGUCAUGGCUACAAUGACAUCUCAAUGAUGACAUCAUGUUUGAUAAAAUGUGGAAGCAAGAAACAUGAGAGUCAUGUGUGAAAGAAUACCCUGGGCAAACAGAGUUUAAGGCUUAAAUAUUGUAAAAAAAAAAAAAAAAGUAAACUAUCUAUUUCAGUCUUCCU
Molecule: non-coding RNA, 326 nt
Organism: Biomphalaria pfeifferi
Lineage: Eukaryota; Metazoa; Mollusca; Gastropoda; Planorbidae
Source: the annotation of a GenBank genome assembly